This 119-nucleotide ribosomal RNA is filed under the name Medicago truncatula (barrel medic). Lineage: Eukaryota; Viridiplantae; Streptophyta; Magnoliopsida; Fabales; Fabaceae. The record is from RNAcentral.
AGGUGUGAUCGUACCAGCACUAAUGCACCAGAUUUCAUCAGAACUCCGUAGUUAAGCGUGCUUGGGCGAGAGUAGUUCUAGGAUGGGUGACCUUUUGGGAAGUCCUUGUGUUGCACCUC